Molecule: long non-coding RNA, 562 nt
Organism: Papaver somniferum (opium poppy)
Lineage: Eukaryota; Viridiplantae; Streptophyta; Magnoliopsida; Ranunculales; Papaveraceae
Exons: 3
Source: RefSeq, a predicted model, not a curated record
ACCAAGUGUAAGUUGAUAGUGGCGAGAUUAAAAUGCCACGGUGACUCCUCGGUUGAAUCGCGAUCCCGGUCCAUCUUUUUAUGAAGUAUUUUCUGAGGAAAACCAAAUACCAGAAGUAUCUGAUACGUUUAAUGCAAUUGUUGACGAUUUAAGCUCAUCAAUCAGACCUAUUCAUGCAAUUGAAUGAUCAGAGGUCCAAGAUUAUGAUGAGCAUUGGAUUCUCUACGCUCUGGCGAACACUGAGAAGUUUCAAUAGUUCUUGGCCAAAGCUUAAAAGAUAAGGUGCAGUUUGGGGAUUUUGUUGGUAAUCUCACAAGGAUGUAUUGAUAGAUAUCUUCAAGAAUGCUUGACACUGCUGCUGAAAAAUUCUCGGGAAAAUUUGGGGAUUUUGUUUUCUUCGACACAAGCUACGUUUCUUCGCUGAUUUUCAGGAAUGGGUCCUCUGGUCCUAUACUUCUAUGUACUAAAGUUCUAAACUGGAUGACUGCUAUUUUCAGGAAUUGGUCCUCUAAACUAUAGCAACUGUACAUAUUGACCAACACUAAUGAAAUGCAAGUUUUAU